This 667-nucleotide ribosomal RNA is filed under the name uncultured fungus. RNAcentral describes it as "eukaryotic LSU rRNA". The stretch from base 287 to 440 matches the Rfam family "5.8S ribosomal RNA". Lineage: Eukaryota; Fungi. The record is from RNAcentral.
UCCGUAGGUGAACCUGCGGAAGGAUCAUUAUUGAAUAAACUUGGCUUGCUGUCGCUGGCUUCUCCGGAGGCAUGUGCACGCUGGUCAUCUUUAUCUCUCCACCUGUGCACCUCUUGUAGAACUGGGAAAGCAACUUGUGUCCGAGGCAACUCGGAUUUUUGGGACUGCUGUGCGUCUUAGCUUAUGCCGGCUUUCCUUGCGCUUUUUCCAGGGCUACGUUUUUUCACAUACACCAUGAAAUGUAACAGAAUGUAUCACUAGGUCUUUGUACCUAUAAACUUUAUACAACUUUCAGCAACGGAUCUCUUGGCUCUCGCAUCGAUGAAGAACGCAGCGAAAUGCGAUAAGUAAUGUGAAUUGCAGAAUUCAGUGAAUCAUCGAAUCUUUGAACGCAUCUUGCGCUCCUUGGUAUUCCGAGGAGCAUGCCUGUUUGAGUGUCAUUAAAUUCUCAACCUUACUAGCUUUUGCGAAGUAAGGCUUGGAUGUGGGGGUUACCUUUUGCUGGCUUCUAACGAGGUCGGCUCCCCUGAAAUGGCAUUAGCGGGGUGGCCCUUGGUGGGGACCCCGGACUAUCAGUGGUGGAUAAUUAUCUACGGCUGUUAGGGGCGGCCCACGGCUUAGGUGGCUGGCUCUAACCGUCCGGGUUUCUGGACAACACAAAUGACAU